AGGGGAUCGUAAGACCUUGCACUAUUAGAGCGGCCGAUAUCGGAUUAGCUAGUUGGUGGGGUAACGGCUCACCAAGGCGACGAUCCGUAGCUGGUUUGAGAGGACGACCAGCCACACUGGGACUGAGACACGGCCCAGACUCCUACGGGAGGCAGCAGUGGGGAAUUUUGGACAAUGGGGGAAACCCUGAUCCAGCCAUCCCGCGUGUGCGAUGAAGGCCUUCGGGUUGUAAAGCACUUUUGGCAGGAAAGAAACGUUCCGGGUUAAUACCCCGGGAAACUGACGGUACCUGCAGAAUAAGCACCGGCUAACUACGUGCCAGCAGCCGCGGUAAUACGUAGGGUGCAAGCGUUAAUCGGAAUUACUGGGCGUAAAGCGUGCGCAGGCGGUUCGGAAAGAAAGAUGUGAAAUCCCAGAGCUUAACUUUGGAACUGCAUUUUUAACUACCGAGCUAGAGUGUGUCAGAGGGAGGUGGAAUUCCGCGUGUAGCAGUGAAAUGCGUAGAUAUGCGGAGGAACACCGAUGGCGAAGGCAGCCUCCUGGGAUAACACUGACGCUCAUGCACGAAAGCGUGGGGAGCAAACAGG
This 587-nucleotide ribosomal RNA is filed under the name uncultured beta proteobacterium. Its description in RNAcentral is "bacterial SSU rRNA". It matches the Rfam family "Bacterial small subunit ribosomal RNA", at positions 198 to 776 of the family's 1533-position model. The record is from RNAcentral. Lineage: Bacteria; Pseudomonadati; Pseudomonadota; Betaproteobacteria.